AUGUUGCUGAAGUGAGAAUCAUGAUGAAAUGUUCAUAGUAAAGCAAAAAAGCAUACAUCUAAACAACCGAAAUAUUAAUCAUCAUAACUUGGCCGAACUUAAAGGCCAUGAAAUUAAAGAAAGAAUUAGCUAGCAAACCAUUUUUCCUUACAGAACUUAAUCACAGCAUAACCAACCACAACAACACAAUUUCAACCCAAAUUUGAACAAUAAAUUCAAUAAUCAUAAACAUAAAAAUCGUGAACCAUUGGAUGAUAGCUUAACUACAACAACCAUAACAUAGUUGUAAAGUUGGGAUUAAUGUUUCCUGUUUUUUCUUACUCAAUUUGUACAGAAAUUAAUCAAACCAAAAAUUAGAAUAAGCCUGUCAAAAAUAAAGCUUCAAACUACAAGUCAACAACAGCCAGCAAUUAUUUCUACAAUAUCAAAAAAAAUAAAGCUAAACAAACAAAUUUUCAACCUGCAGCAGAAUCAUAUAACAGCAAACCAGGCAUUGAGCAACUCAAUUUCAAAAUCCAAUCUUUCAAGAGAUGAGAAAUUAAAAAAACAGCAUCAUUAAAAAUAUAAUAGCAAUCCCCUAUUCUUUUUAAUGAACCCGAGCGAAUUCCCCAUAGUAUUCGUUUCACCAAAGCAACACAGUGGUGUACAAGAGAGGAAAAGACAUUUCGAAGUGUUACCGUCGUCAUGCUGUUGUUGUUGGAGGACGGCAGAUGCGGUUUUGAUGACGAUGUUGAGAGCGAUUGAAGCGGCGACGGAGAAGUGAGUGGUUCGUAGCAGAAUCACAGGGUAACAACAGCAAUCACUUUGAAAUCGAUCCUCUAUCUAACAUACCCAUGGCUCUAAAUCUUCAAA
Molecule: long non-coding RNA, 852 nt
Organism: Lathyrus oleraceus (garden pea)
Lineage: Eukaryota; Viridiplantae; Streptophyta; Magnoliopsida; Fabales; Fabaceae
Exons: 2
Source: RefSeq, a predicted model, not a curated record